RNAcentral lists this ribosomal RNA (1320 nucleotides) under uncultured bacterium. RNAcentral's name for it is "bacterial SSU rRNA". It matches the Rfam family "Bacterial small subunit ribosomal RNA", at positions 159 to 1480 of the family's 1533-position model. The record is from RNAcentral.
GAGUCUAAUACCCCGUAGGCCUUGUUGCCGCAUGGUAAUAAGGUAAGGGGAGUGAUCCGAUGCGCGAUGGGCAUGCGGCGCAUUAGCUAGUUGGCGGGGUAACAGCCCACCAAGGCGACGAUGCGUAGGGGUUCUGAGAGGAAGGUCCCCCACACUGGUACUGAGACACGGACCAGACUCCUACGGGAGGCAGCAGUGAGGAAUAUUGGUCAAUGGGCGGAAGCCUGAACCAGCCAAGUCGCGUGCGGGAAGGAGGCCCUACGGGUCGUAAACCGCUUUUGAUGGGGGGUAACCAUGCGGACGAGUCCGCAUCUGAGAGUACCCAUCGAAUAAGCAUCGGCUAACUCCGUGCCAGCAGCCGCGGUAAUACGGAGGAUGCGAGCGUUAUCCGGAUUUAUUGGGUUUAAAGGGUGCGCAGGCGGCUAUUCAAGUCAGCGGUCAAAUUGCGGUGCUCAACGCCGUAUCGCCGUUGAAACUGAGUUGGCUAGAGUGAGAGUGAGGAAGGCGGAAUGCGCGGUGUAGCGGUGAAAUGCAUAGAUAUUGCGCAGAACUCCGAUUGCGAAGGCAGCUUUCCAAUUCUCUACUGACGCUCAUGCACGAAAGCGUGGGUAUCGAACAGGAUUAGAUACCCCUGGUAGUCCACGCGGUAAACGAUGGUCACUAGCUGUGCGCCCCUGAUUAAAGGGAGCUGUGGCCGAGCGAAAGCGUUAAGUGACCCACCUGGGGAGUACGCCGGCAACGGUGAAACUCAAAGGAAUUGACGGGGGCCCGCACAAGCGGAGGAACAUGUGGUUUAAUUCGAUGAUACGCGAGGAACCUUACCCGGGCUCAAACGCUUGCGGGAGUCUAUUUGAAAGGAUAGAUGCCCUUCGGGCGCUGCAAGCGAGGUGCUGCAUGGUUGUCGUCAGCUCGUGCCGUGAGGUGUCGGCUUAAGUGCCAUAACGAGCGCAACCCCCAUCUUCAGUUGCCGUCGGGUAGAGCCGGGCACUCUGGAGAGACUGCCGGCGCAAGCUGUGAGGAAGGCGGGGAUGACGUCAAAUCAGCACGGCCCUUACGUCCGGGGCGACACACGUGUUACAAUGGCGGGGUACAGAGGGAAGCCAGGCGGUGACGUCGAGCGGAUCCCGAAAACCCGUCUCAGUUCGGAUCGGAGUCUGCAACUCGACUCCGUGAAGCUGGAUUCGCUAGUAAUCGCGCAUCAGCCAUGGCGCGGUGAAUACGUUCCCGGGCCUUGUACACACCGCCCGUCAAGCCAUGGAAGCCUGGAGUGCCUAAAGUCCGUGACCGAAAGGAGCGGCGCAAGGUAAACAGUGACUUGGG